Molecule: ribosomal RNA, 780 nt
Filed under: uncultured bacterium
Lineage: Bacteria
Description: bacterial SSU rRNA
Rfam family: Bacterial small subunit ribosomal RNA
Source: RNAcentral
GCGUAACACGUAUGCAACCUACCUUUAACUGGGGUAUAGCUCAGAGAAAUCUGAAUUAAUCCCCCAUAACACUACGACAUGGCAUCAUGAUGUAGUUAAAGCUCCGGCGGUUAAGGAUGGGCAUGCGGUACAUUAGCUAGUUGGUGAGGUAAUGGCUCACCAAGGCUACGAUGUAUAGGGGGUCUGAGAGGAUGAUCCCCCACACUGGUACUGAGACACGGACCAGACUCCUACGGGAGGCAGCAGUAGGGAAUAUUGGUCAAUGGACGCAAGUCUGAACCAGCCAUGCCGCGUGAAGGAUGAAGGCCCUCUGGGUCGUAAACUUCUUUUAUUAGGGAAGAAACCUCAGGAUGCGUCCUGAGCUGACGGUACUUAAUGAAUAAGGAUCGGCUAACUUCGUGCCAGCAGCCGCGGUAAGACGAAGGAUCCAAGCGUUGUCCGGAUUUACUGGGUUUAAAGGGUGCGUAGGCGGAAAAUUAAGUCAGUGGUGAAAGCCCGCAGCUCAACUGUGGAACUGCCAUUGAAACUGAUUUUCUUGAAUAUAGCUGAGGCAGAUGGAAUAUAACAUGUAGCGGUGAAAUGCUUAGAUAUGUUAUAGAACACCGAUUGCGAAGGCAGUCUGCUAAACUAUUAUUGACGCUGAGGCACGAAAGCGUGGGGAGCGAACAGGAUUAGAUACCCUGGUAGUCCACGCCCUAAACGUUGAUUACUCGCUGUUGGCGAUAUACUGUCAGUGGCUAAGCGAAAGCAUUAAGUAAUCCACCUGGGAAGUACGACCGC